Molecule: unclassified non-coding RNA, 1626 nt
Filed under: Pomacea canaliculata
Lineage: Eukaryota; Metazoa; Mollusca; Gastropoda; Architaenioglossa; Ampullariidae
Description: uncharacterized LOC112562369, transcript variant X1
Source: RNAcentral
ACGCCCUCGUCAUAAACACCCUCCCCCUAUCGCCUUGCCGUGUACACAGACCUGGCUGUUGUUCACUGUUUCUCUGUUGGCCCAGCUUGACACUUGCUAAUCGAUUCCCUAUUGUCCCCAGUAGUUGGCGGUCAGAUCCCGCUAAAUCUGCUUAAACCCUCAGACACAUUGUAUUUCCUCCGCUGUGCAUAACAUACGCUUGUCCGUUUGUCCGUUUGUCCAUCCAUUUUAUUUUCUGUGUUGUUGUUUUGUCUGUCCUUUUCCCGUCUGUCUGGUUUUCUGUUCAGCCUCCCCACUCUUCCACCGCGAGCAUCUUUACACUAACAUCGGUGACAUUCGUCCUUCCCUCCAGCAUCCUCUCCAUUCCUUGGGUAUUGGUCAUCUUGUGUUUGGUCUACCUACUGACCAGUUUGUUUAUCUUCUCACCAGCCCUCUCUCUUCUCCACAGCUACUGUCCUCUCCCUUCUCACUUGUCUCACUCCAGCACAUUCUCCACUUUUCACUCCCCCACACCUCCCACCUGCAGUUACCUCCCCCUGUGUAAGAACUACAGCUCCCUACCAUUGUGUUGUGGACGGUCAAACAAUUUGGAUUUUUUUUAAAAGAAGGUGAAUUAGAUCCGCGAGCACAAAGGGACGGCUGGACAUUAGGUCGUACAGGACGAGGGGUCAGUCUGAGAAAGGGAUCGUUACUUCUGCACCUGUUCGCAGCUGACAAUGAAGGGCUGUUGCUUCUUUGUCCUGUCUUUAUGCGUGAUUAUUCACCUCCAAGUCAGCAUCGUCGCCGGCCAAGGAGCAUGCAACAUGACCCAGGCUGCUGUAUGCGUGACCUCCAUGGAAAGCGCUGUCAGGCAUGUUCUAGAAAGUACUUCCGGUGUGACCAAACAGGAAUCGCUUCAACGGCUUUGUCUGGAUGUCAUAAAGGGAAACAACCUCACCCAGUGCUACAUCGAGGCGACGGGAGGAUGUUCUUCAUCCGAAGCGGGGGAGACGCCCACGGCAGCCAUGCGCGACUGGGAGCGCGUGAUGCAAGACUUGUAUCAGAUGUGCGAUGGGGCAUGCCCUGAUUUUCUUGAGAGAACGAUCAACAUCACACAGUGCACCAGCCUGAUUCGUUUUGAUGAGCUGUAUGACAACUCCUACCUCUCCUUUUGCAGGUCUCUCAACGCCAGCCUGGAAUGUUCGCAGAAGUGUCUGGAGGUUGUGAUCUGUUCUCUCAGCUGUUCUACGACCUCUUACCAAAGGGCGUUGACCAAACGGCCAGCGCUAUCUGUACCUCAGGCUGCGAUAACUUUAACGAGGCGCUCAGCAUCUUGGAAACAUGCAAAAGUUACGUGGCCAAUUUACCUGAAGAUCUUGAUGCUGCCUGCAGCGCCUACCGUCAGUUUCGCACGUGCCUGUACUCUAGUGACGUGCCGCUCACGUGCCCGAUGUUCGGGGCCCUGAUGGACGUCCUGUACCCGCAGCACAUCUUCGGCCUGUACGAGGAGCAGUGUAACGAUACCAGAGCGGACCAAGACACGUGCGGAGAGAAGGGCGUGGCCAAGAUGGACCACUGUCUCCGGGUCCUGGCCUUGGCCUGGCCAGCAAGCACGGACACACCUGUCCUCUCGAUGGACCAGUGCAG